CUUUACUCUCGCCGGCCGCGCGAACCCGUUUGAGCUCGGUAUCCUAGUGCACACGCCUUGCAAGCGACGGCGCCAUGAGUCUGACUUCCAGUUCCAGCGUACGAGUUCCCAUUCUGUGAUGGGGCUCACACAAAACAUAACGAAGAGACUGGAGACAAUGUGGGCCCUCUGAUCAUCAAGAAAAAAGAAACUUAAAUGGACACUUUUGAUGCUGCAAAUCAGCUUGUCGUGAAGUUACCUGAUUGUUUAAUUAGAAUGACUACCACCUCUGUCUGAUUCACCUUCGCUGGAUUCUAAAUGUGGUAUAUUGCAAACUGCAGCUUUCACAUUUAUGGCAUUUGUCUUGUUGAAACAUCGUGGUGCACAUUUGUUUAAACAAAAAAAAAAAAAAAAAGGAAAAACCAACCUGCAUGGCCUGUGGGUUAUUUUGGUCUUGUAAGGAUCCAUUUCUUUAAAAUACUGACAUAUAGAGUUGUACCUUAUAUAGAAUAUAGUUGUAUCUUGAAGUCAACAUAUUAAAUUAUUC
This 526-nucleotide long non-coding RNA is filed under the name Homo sapiens (human). RNAcentral's name for it is "long non-coding RNA NONHSAT155527.1". Lineage: Eukaryota; Metazoa; Chordata; Mammalia; Primates; Hominidae. The record is from RNAcentral.